UACGUAGGGCGCAAGCGUUGUCCGGAAUUAUUGGGCGUAAAGAGCUCGUAGGCGGCCUGUUGCGUCCGCUGUGAAAUCCCGGGGCUUAACCCCGGGCGUGCAGUGGAUACGGGCAGGCUGGAGGCAGGCAGGGGAGAACGGAAUUCCCGGUGCAGCGGUGAAAUGCGCAGAUAUCGGGAGGAACACCGGUGGCGAAGGCGGUUCUCUGGGCCUGUACUGACGCUGAGGAGCGAAAGCGUGGGGAGCGAACAGG
Molecule: ribosomal RNA, 253 nt
Filed under: uncultured bacterium
Lineage: Bacteria
Description: partial 16S ribosomal RNA
Rfam family: Bacterial small subunit ribosomal RNA
Source: RNAcentral